UCCCCGCACUCCCGCAAUAAGGUCUCAUUAAGGAACCGGUAUUUUCAUUCUGGUUCAACCGCAACCCAGAGGAAGAGGAAGGGGGUGAGAUUGUUUUUGGUGGUGUUGAUCCUGCUCACUAUAAGGGAAAGCACACUUACGUGCCUGUGACCAGAAAAGGAUAUUGGCAGUUUGAUAUGGGAGAUGUACUUAUUGCCGGUAAACCCACUGGAUAUUGUGCUGAUGGUUGUUCAGCCAUUGCAGACUCAUGGACUUCUUUGUUGGCAGGUCCAACGACUGUAAUAACUAUGAUUAACCAUGCAAUUGGAGCAUCUGGAGUUAUAAGCCAAGAAUGCAGGGUGCGG
Long non-coding RNA from Cajanus cajan (pigeon pea), 344 nucleotides. RefSeq lists it as uncharacterized. Lineage: Eukaryota; Viridiplantae; Streptophyta; Magnoliopsida; Fabales; Fabaceae. The record is from RefSeq and is a predicted model, not a curated record.